UUAGUUUAUGCCUGGUUCUUUACCUCCACUAAAAUGCUGCAGUGAUACAUAUAAGCUGCAAAAAUUUCAGGUUGCUACAUCAUCAAUAAAGAUACAAUUCAAAUGCAGGUUACAGUUUGCAAAUGUUAGAAAUUUUCCAAGUUGGAUCAACUAGUAACGGGCUGCACUUUUCUAUUCUCAUUUCUAUUUUCUCUGCCUCAAGCAUCAAAGUAAAUGUGUAUACAUGUACAAGGAAACACAAACUUUGCAUUGCACCUUUCACAUCCAUAAACUCUGCUCAGAAUUAUUCUCAAUUAAUUUUGGGCUUUGGUCGCCCUGGCUUCAAGACGAUGUAAAGAACACCGAGAACAGUUAAGAAUGCAGGAAUUGUAGUCAUAUCAAACACUACAUGCACUUUUCUCUCUCUUGUGCAGUGAAUUGGGUGGAGAAGAGCUAUAGUUGCAUUCACUUGAUCAGCAAACCCUUUGGAAGCAUCCUCUAACGUAUAAAGAAGCCUCAUGGCAUCCACAUAACGCAAUUCUCCAGCAAUGGUUGAGAUUCUUCUCCACAGGCUAACCACAUAAUUAUACUUGUUCACAAGCUCUUGCUCUUUGGAUUGAAAGAGCCUGAAGGUCUUCUCAGAUGUACGCUCCAUUAGUAGACGAUGAGUGGCAGAAUUGACCAGUUGUAUCGACUCUUCAAGAGUCGUGAUUAUAUAACUCCGACCAAUUGUAUCUGACUGAAACUGUGAUAUGUGCCAGCCCUGGGAAGUUAUGGAAAAAGGAUUGCAUCCGACAGACCAUAUCCAGUCCUCAAUUGCAGUUUCAUGGGCAUGGCUAUAGGCAAUAUGAAGGGGAAGUAAACCAGCCAAAUGUUCAGAAACAGCAGCCAUUGAAGCUUUUAUGGGCCUCCUCAAGUCCCACAAAAGUGACUGCCCAUUGCAUUGCAAAUAGCUUUCCCAGGAUGGCGGCUCUGACUGGACAACAAUAACCAUGUCUGAAAGAGCCUUUGCUUGAUAAUGCUUGUCAACCAAUAAUGGCUCUCCAUGAAUGAACCAGAAGAUAGGAACUUCAAGUGUAGACCUGGUAUGGGCAUGUGCUCCUUUGAGAGAACCAUGUUCAUUCAACCUCUGCAAUUGAUACUGAAGAAUAGAAGAAUCAAGAUAGGACCGAAUGGUCUUUCUAUAUGUUCCAUUAACAAGUAAAAGUGGAACAGCUGCUGCACGCCGUGCAACUGAAAAUGCCAUUGCCAAGGCAGGAUCUUCUGAAAGUGAUAAUAGGGUCUGGCUGAACAUAGCCUUUUGGGAAGGCAACAACAAGGAGGAAAGCCCAUCCAUGAGAGCCUUGAGAUCCACAGGUAGUUGUUUAACAGUCCUAACUUUCUCCUGUGUAAUGAAAAACAACUGAAAGGAUAUCUUCUCAUAAUAGUGGAAAGCACCGUCAGCAAUUGAAGGUGAUAUUAUGUGCCUCAUGGAACCCCACAGUGUAGCGCCUAAAUGAGCCAGAAAAGUAUCCCGUGCAACCGUGUAGUUCUGAAACUCCUCAUAAGUGUCGCUGAAAAGAUUCCAACUCUCCAUUCUUUUUAAUGCCUCUAUAGCCUUCCUUUUAUGACUCUCCUCAUAUUCCUCACCUUCAAAUGAUUGGAGCUCAUUUUUCAAAUCCUGCAUUCUCUCAUCAAGCUCUUCACAAAGAGCUAGCUUCACUUUCCUUCCCUUGCAGUGCUUGAAUGCAAAAAGCUCAUAAAUAUCAAUCUCCGCCAAAAGGAUAUCAAUGGCUUGAUGAUCUUUAUCACCAAAUACUGCAAACUUUUCCUGAAUUGCAUCUUGCAACCGAUCUUCAGCUUCAUCUUCUGAAAUUUCUGCAACUGCACCAAUGGUUUUGGUAACAUUAGGCAAACUAUGGUCUGUGCGCACACCUUCUCCACCAACAGCAGGGCCCCAAGAGAAAGGGCCAGCGGUUAAAUCAAUGAAUGCCCACCUGUCCCUUCCAAUCCAUGUAUCUGUAAGACAUUCUGCAUGAAAACCACUAAAGUCCCCUGAUUUUAACUCCUUUUCAAGAAUAAGUUUCAUAUCUUCAUUUUUCUUCCCUUUCAAUAACUGUAGAACUUUAUUCUGAAUGAUAUCCGAAGUGUCAUUUCCUUGGUAUAACUUCUCAACAUUAUUGAGCGCAUUCAACCAGAUAUUAUACCAUUCCACCUGAUAUUAUCUAAAAAUUUAUUGCUCAAUACUGACAUGUUUCCUUACAACGCUAAAAUACUCAUUUAGUUACACAUAUCUAGCCCACAUAUGACACAUGGACACCCACAGAAAUACUAAUACACAGUUGUAAUAUGUGCAAUCAGAAGUCUGAGUCUCAAACGCAAGAAGCAACCACCAAGAUAUUCAUUUUACUGGAGUGGAAAGUAGGACAACAAAAUGCUUAUAAUUAAUUACAAAAUUUGAUUACAACACUCACAUCACAAACUCUCUGUUACCUGGUAAAUUUCUUCAGCUGGGUGGUAAGUUCCUAUCAGUUUGCCCAGCCAAACAAGUAAAAGACAAGGGACUUUUUAAGCUUGACAUUCACUGAAAUCCAUGAAGAAUGCUUCCAAUAAAAUUAAUUACUACUACUUCAACAAAGAAUCAUUGGCAUCCACCACUUCAGAAGGUCCAUUUCAACUGUUCACAAAUAGAUAUUGACUAAUUAAGUGUUCGUUUCUACCCUUUUGAGUCUUGACUUAUUAGGUUCACUAUCACAACCAAUAAAUGAUUGAACCAGCAGAAAUAAAUGGAUUUACAAAAUUUGGGUCCUAUGGAGUCAUAAGGACUGGAACUAAACCAAAUUUAACCCAAUCUUAUACAUGUCCAAAAGUUCUCAAAGUAUGGAAAACAAAUUUUAUUAAAAAUAAAUAAAUAAAAAUCUUACCACUGGUCUGAAUAGCACAAUUGAAAGUAUUAUCAUUUUAAAUUAGUGAGAUAUGAUUGCUCAUCAGACAUCUAGUGAAGUUCUCCAAAACUUCAAAUGCAUCCAUUCUAUAUGUCAUUUGAACUUGAUUUAUUUCCAUAAAUACAUAUGCCUUUACAUGAAAUUCCUAAUCUAAAUGAGCUCAUAAUUGAACUAAGAGCUUUCAUUGCCUAGACCAAUAGAUUACAAGCAAAGCCAAUACCUCAGUUGUGCAGAGGAAUCAUAACAACCAACAGCACUCAAAUUAUAAACUCUCAAAACAUAAAUCUUCAUAUAUCAACAUGCUAUUUUCCUAUCACUAAGAAAAUCAACCUUUCUUCUGUUCUUACUUAAUCAAUCUUAUCUUCCAUUGGAUUCAGAAAAUUAAAGAUAAAAAGUAGCUACAUUAGUACAUUUUAUGCAGACACAUCUCAUAUGAUACACCAGUUAAGGAAUUUAAGCUGAAAGAAUACUAACUGUAUCAGUGUCUUCAGUUACUGUCCAGGCAAAUUUUGCCAUUGGAUGCUUUUCAUACAGAGGUCUCUUAAUCUUCUCAAGUUCAAGGACACUUUCAGGAAUGCUUCCUGACUGAAGAAUUUUUGUUUGCAAACUCUUGUUCUGAAGAAUCCAUCAAGAAAACUAAAUAGUCAAUCUUGAAGCUGGCUCUAUAUGUAUUAUAAUGGUGCCAAAUGAAAUAAUAAAAAUAACAAAAAAAAAUAAACAUCUUGCAAGUGAUUCAUUAAACUAGCAAAUUUACCAAGCCUGCUAAAUGAAGCCAACCUUGCAAUAAACCAUGUGGACAUUAUAAAUUAUGUCAUUCUUGAAGAAUAGUAAUAGGUAUAUAGCAGAAAUGAACAAAGCAAAAGGAAUACCUCCUUCAGAAAAGUUAUUUCAGACUCUGAUAAACCGCUCCGGUAUCCAUAUUUUGCUCUCUUCAAGUCAUACUUGGGAUUCAAAAUGAAAAUAUUAUAUGCAUUUUCAAGUUGUAGAUAUUCUACAAGGCUAGCAAAAAGAACAUCCAUCAUAUCCACAUCCACUUGCCAAAGGACAUCCCCAUCAUCACUUUUAGCAGACACAUCAUCCUUGCGAGCCAAAAUAUUGAUGGCACGCUCAAAGAUAGAAGUAACCUUUUCACCCAUUUGAAUAGCAUGAACUGAAAAAUUGUAAUUAAUGUGACUGAUAAUGGGAAGAUUGUGGCGUUGUUCUUUAUCUACACUAAUCUUGUAAAAUGGGGUGAGAACUUCUCCAAUUUGUGGAACUCGUGUAUGUUCAAAGAUAUGGUCAAUUUUCAUGAACCAGCGCUCAAGUUCUUCUGGAUGAAGCUUGAAUUCUUGGUUCCCCUUUCCUUCAAAUCCUAUGAAAAUGAAAUUCACAGGAACAGGGAGAUACAUAGAAUCCACUUCCUGAAGCUUUAGAUAAUUUGCAAUAUUACCUGACUUAGUGUAAUUGAGAGCUCCCAUUUUUCCAGGGCUUGAAGAUUCCAGAUCAUCAAAAUCUUCACGUAUAACAGCCUCACUCCAAAACCUACUCUUCGCUUUGAGAUUAAAUAAAGAAAAUACAGAUGACCCGCCUGUUUUACGAGUUCCAUAGGGAGACCCAUAUGACCCAGUAACAGCAAACAGCAAAAAAGCACAGACUAAGACGAUACAGUUACAUGUAACAGAUCGCUGAUCGCCCAUCUCUCUCUUCUGAGCAGAGUCCUCGCACUUCACUGUUUCAAUUCCCCAGCACAGAC
This 4635-nucleotide unclassified non-coding RNA is filed under the name Hevea brasiliensis (rubber tree). Lineage: Eukaryota; Viridiplantae; Streptophyta; Magnoliopsida; Malpighiales; Euphorbiaceae. The record is from RNAcentral.